This 1773-nucleotide ribosomal RNA is filed under the name Triticum aestivum (bread wheat). RNAcentral's name for it is "partial small subunit ribosomal RNA". The record is from RNAcentral. Lineage: Eukaryota; Viridiplantae; Streptophyta; Magnoliopsida; Poales; Poaceae.
AUGGCCAGACUCCCUGUCGCCGCGUGCAUCGUCGCCCUUCACCUUUGCCUUCUCCUCUUGCCGUCUUCCUCACUCCGUCGGCUUUCCGAAGCAGAGAGCUCGCUAGUCCAGCAUGGCGGGGGCAGCAGGCCAGCCUACCACUUCCUGCCCGCCAAGAACUGGCAGAAUGACCCGAAUGGGCCGAUGUACCACAACGGCGUGUACCACCUCUUCUAUCAGUACAACCCGCUGGGCGCGACGUGGGGCUCCGGCAACCUCUCAUGGGGUCACUCCGUCUCCCGAGACCUUGUCAACUGGGCUGCCCUCAACACCGCGCUGGACCCCACCGCCCCCUUUGACAAUAAUGGUUGCUGGUCAGGCUCCGCCACAAUCCUCCCUGGCGGCAUCCCGGCCUUGAUGUACACCGGCCGCAUCGACGCCGGCAAGGAGGCGCAGGUGCAGAACGUCGCCUUCCCCAAGAACCUUGCCGACCCGCUUCUCCGCGAGUGGGUCAAGCCCGCAUACAACCCUGUGAUAUCACUCCCAGCCGACGUCCCCGGAGACAGGUUCCGUGACCCAACCACGGCAUGGGUGGGCCACGACAGCUUGUGGCGUAUCGCCGUUGCGGCCAAGGUCGGCGGCCCUAGUGGCAUUGCCUCCACGCUCAUCUACCGGAGUAAGGACUUUCGACACUGGAAGCGGAACACCUUGCCAUUGUACACAUCGCGUGCUGCCGGCAUGGUCGAGUGCCCGGACCUAUUCCCGGUGGCGGAGCCUGGCGUGGAGGAGGGGCGCCUCGGCUACACGCCUGGAAUGGCGAGUGGUGUUGUGAGGCAUGUGCUGAAGCUGAGCGUGAUGAACACGACCGAGGACUACUACAUGGUUGGGAGUUACGAUGAUGCGGCCGACACCUUCGUGCCCGAGCUGGACAACGAGCGCAGCCUCGACGACUGCCGCACCUGGCGCCGCUUUGACUACGGCCAUGUGUAUGCGUCAAAGUCAUUCUUUGACGUGCGCAAGAACAGACGUGUGCUAUGGGCAUGGGCCACUGAGUCGGACAACAUGGACGACGACAUCGCCAAGGGCUGGUCCGGCGUUCAGACGGUUCCGAGGAAGGUGUGGUUGGACGGAGACGGUAAACAGCUACGGCAGUGGCCCAUCGAGGAGAUCGAGACGUUGAGGAGUAAACAAGUCGUCGGCUUGCUUGGAGCGCAGGUGAAUGCCGGUGGCGUGAACAAGAUCUUUGGCGCGGGUGCGCAGGUUGAUGUAGAGGCCAUCUUUGAGAUCCCAUACCUAGAAGACGCUGAGACUUUGGAGCCCAACUGGCAGUUGGACCCGCAGAAGCUAUGCGAGGAGAAGAGUGCGUCCGUGUCGGGUGGGGUCGGCCCGUUCGGGCUACUCGUCAUGGCAUCCGGCGACCUGCAGGAGCACACCGCUGUCUUCUUUAGAGUGUUUAGACACAACCAGAACUAUAAAGUUCUCAUGUGCACCGACCUCACACGAUCGAAUGGGAGGGACAAGAUCUACAAGCCGCCGUAUGGAGGGUUUGUGGACAUAGACAUCGAGCAACACCGGAAGAGCAUAUCUCUUAGAACUUUGAUUGACCAUUCGGUGGUGGAGAGCUUUGGAGGAGGGGGGCGGACGUGCAUCACGGCCCGGGUGUACCCUGAGCAUGCGGAGAACAACAAUAGCCAUGUGUUCGUGUUCAAUAAUGGGACCGGCGUCGUGAAGGUGUCUAGGCUCGAGGCAUGGAGGAUGGCAAGGGCUACCGUAAAUGUUGUACAUGGCAGGUGA